RNAcentral lists this unclassified non-coding RNA (329 nucleotides) under soil metagenome. RNAcentral describes it as "partial contains 5.8S ribosomal RNA, internal transcribed spacer 2, and large subunit ribosomal RNA". The stretch from base 1 to 120 matches the Rfam family "5.8S ribosomal RNA", at positions 35 to 154 of the family's 154-position model. The record is from RNAcentral.
GAUGAAGAACGUAGCGAAAUGCGAUAAGUAAUGUGAAUUGCAGAAUUCAGUGAAUCAUCGAGUCUUUGAACGCACAUUGCGCCCCCUGGUAUUCCGGGGGGCAUGCCUGUUCGAGCGUCAUUACAACCCUCAAGCUCUGCUUGGUAUUGGGCCCCGCCAGUUCUGGCGGGCCCUAAAGUCAGUGGCGGUGCCUUCCGGCUCCGAGCGUAGUAAUUCUUCUCGCUCUGGAGACCCGGUUGUGUGCUUGCCAACAACCCCCAAUUUUUUAAGGUUGACCUCGGAUCAGGUAGGGAUACCCGCUGAACUUAAGCAUAUCAAUAAGCGGAGGA